CAGUAGCCACGGGAAUACGUAGGUGGCAAGCGUUGUCCGGAAUUAUUGGGCGUAAAGGGCUCGCAGGCGGUUUCUUAAGUCUGAUGUGAAAGCCCCCGGCUCAACCGGGGAGGGUCAUUGGAAACUGGGAAACUCGAGUGCAGAAGAGGAGAGUGGAAUUCCACGUGUAGCGGUGAAAUGCGUAGAUAUAUGGAGGAACACCGGUGGCGAAGGCGACUCUCUGGUCUGUAACUGACGCUGAGGAGCGAAAGCGUGGGGAGCGAACAGGAUUAGAUACCCCGGUAGUCCCUGUCUCUUAUAC
Molecule: ribosomal RNA, 301 nt
Filed under: uncultured bacterium
Lineage: Bacteria
Description: partial 16S ribosomal RNA
Rfam family: Bacterial small subunit ribosomal RNA
Source: RNAcentral